RNAcentral lists this ribosomal RNA (2787 nucleotides) under Escherichia coli. Its description in RNAcentral is "bacterial LSU rRNA". It matches the Rfam family "Bacterial large subunit ribosomal RNA". The record is from RNAcentral. Lineage: Bacteria; Pseudomonadati; Pseudomonadota; Gammaproteobacteria; Enterobacterales; Enterobacteriaceae.
AGCGUACACGGUGGAUGCCCUGGCAGUCAGAGGCGAUGAAGGACGUGCUAAUCUGCGAUAAGCGUCGGUAAGGUGAUAUGAACCGUUAUAACCGGCGAUUUCCGAAUGGGGAAACCCAGUGUGUUUCGACACACUAUCAUUAACUGAAUCCAUAGGUUAAUGAGGCGAACCGGGGGAACUGAAACAUCUAAGUACCCCGAGGAAAAGAAAUCAACCGAGAUUCCCCCAGUAGCGGCGAGCGAACGGGGAGCAGCCCAGAGCCUGAAUCAGUGUGUGUGUUAGUGGAAGCGUCUGGAAAGGCGCGCGAUACAGGGUGACAGCCCCGUACACAAAAAUGCACAUGCUGUGAGCUCGAUGAGUAGGGCGGGACACGUGGUAUCCUGUCUGAAUAUGGGGGGACCAUCCUCCAAGGCUAAAUACUCCUGACUGACCGAUAGUGAACCAGUACCGUGAGGGAAAGGCGAAAAGAACCCCGGCGAGGGGAGUGAAAAAGAACCUGAAACCGUGUACGUACAAGCAGUGGGAGCACGCUUAGGCGUGUGACUGCGUACCUUUUGUAUAAUGGGUCAGCGACUUAUAUUCUGUAGCAAGGUUAACCGAAUAGGGGAGCCGAAGGGAAACCGAGUCUUAACUGGGCGUUAAGUUGCAGGGUAUAGACCCGAAACCCGGUGAUCUAGCCAUGGGCAGGUUGAAGGUUGGGUAACACUAACUGGAGGACCGAACCGACUAAUGUUGAAAAAUUAGCGGAUGACUUGUGGCUGGGGGUGAAAGGCCAAUCAAACCGGGAGAUAGCUGGUUCUCCCCGAAAGCUAUUUAGGUAGCGCCUCGUGAAUUCAUCUCCGGGGGUAGAGCACUGUUUCGGCAAGGGGGUCAUCCCGACUUACCAACCCGAUGCAAACUGCGAAUACCGGAGAAUGUUAUCACGGGAGACACACGGCGGGUGCUAACGUCCGUCGUGAAGAGGGAAACAACCCAGACCGCCAGCUAAGGUCCCAAAGUCAUGGUUAAGUGGGAAACGAUGUGGGAAGGCCCAGACAGCCAGGAUGUUGGCUUAGAAGCAGCCAUCAUUUAAAGAAAGCGUAAUAGCUCACUGGUCGAGUCGGCCUGCGCGGAAGAUGUAACGGGGCUAAACCAUGCACCGAAGCUGCGGCAGCGACGCUGAUGCGUUGUUGGGUAGGGGAGCGUUCUGUAAGCCUGCGAAGGUGUGCUGUGAGGCAUGCUGGAGGUAUCAGAAGUGCGAAUGCUGACAUAAGUAACGAUAAAGCGGGUGAAAAGCCCGCUCGCCGGAAGACCAAGGGUUCCUGUCCAACGUUAAUCGGGGCAGGGUGAGUCGACCCCUAAGGCGAGGCCGAAAGGCGUAGUCGAUGGGAAACAGGUUAAUAUUCCUGUACUUGGUGUUACUGCGAAGGGGGGACGGAGAAGGCUAUGUUGGCCGGGCGACGGUUGUCCCGGUUUAAGCGUGUAGGCUGGUUUUCCAGGCAAAUCCGGAAAAUCAAGGCUGAGGCGUGAUGACGAGGCACUACGGUGCUGAAGCAACAAAUGCCCUGCUUCCAGGAAAAGCCUCUAAGCAUCAGGUAACAUCAAAUCGUACCCCAAACCGACACAGGUGGUCAGGUAGAGAAUACCAAGGCGCUUGAGAGAACUCGGGUGAAGGAACUAGGCAAAAUGGUGCCGUAACUUCGGGAGAAGGCACGCUGAUAUGUAGGUGAAGUCCCUUGCGGAUGGAGCUGAAAUCAGUCGAAGAUACCAGCUGGCUGCAACUGUUUAUUAAAAACACAGCACUGUGCAAACACGAAAGUGGACGUAUACGGUGUGACGCCUGCCCGGUGCCGGAAGGUUAAUUGAUGGGGUCAGCGCAAGCGAAGCUCUUGAUCGAAGCCCCGGUAAACGGCGGCCGUAACUAUAACGGUCCUAAGGUAGCGAAAUUCCUUGUCGGGUAAGUUCCGACCUGCACGAAUGGCGUAAUGAUGGCCAGGCUGUCUCCACCCGAGACUCAGUGAAAUUGAACUCGCUGUGAAGAUGCAGUGUACCCGCGGCAAGACGGAAAGACCCCGUGAACCUUUACUAUAGCUUGACACUGAACAUUGAGCCUUGAUGUGUAGGAUAGGUGGGAGGCUUUGAAGUGUGGACGCCAGUCUGCAUGGAGCCGACCUUGAAAUACCACCCUUUAAUGUUUGAUGUUCUAACGUUGACCCGUAAUCCGGGUUGCGGACAGUGUCUGGUGGGUAGUUUGACUGGGGCGGUCUCCUCCUAAAGAGUAACGGAGGAGCACGAAGGUUGGCUAAUCCUGGUCGGACAUCAGGAGGUUAGUGCAAUGGCAUAAGCCAGCUUGACUGCGAGCGUGACGGCGCGAGCAGGUGCGAAAGCAGGUCAUAGUGAUCCGGUGGUUCUGAAUGGAAGGGCCAUCGCUCAACGGAUAAAAGGUACUCCGGGGAUAACAGGCUGAUACCGCCCAAGAGUUCAUAUCGACGGCGGUGUUUGGCACCUCGAUGUCGGCUCAUCACAUCCUGGGGCUGAAGUAGGUCCCAAGGGUAUGGCUGUUCGCCAUUUAAAGUGGUACGCGAGCUGGGUUUAGAACGUCGUGAGACAGUUCGGUCCCUAUCUGCCGUGGGCGCUGGAGAACUGAGGGGGGCUGCUCCUAGUACGAGAGGACCGGAGUGGACGCAUCACUGGUGUUCGGGUUGUCAUGCCAAUGGCACUGCCCGGUAGCUAAAUGCGGAAGAGAUAAGUGCUGAAAGCAUCUAAGCACGAAACUUGCCCCGAGAUGAGUUCUCCCUGACUCCUUGA